Rhagoletis zephyria (snowberry fruit fly) is the source of this 74-nucleotide non-coding RNA. Lineage: Eukaryota; Metazoa; Arthropoda; Insecta; Diptera; Tephritidae. The record is from the annotation of a RefSeq genome assembly.
GUCGGAUUAGCUCAGUUGGUUAGAGCGUCGUGCUAAUAACGCGAAGGUCUGCAGUUCGAUCCUGUAAUUCGACA